This 634-nucleotide ribosomal RNA is filed under the name uncultured archaeon. Its description in RNAcentral is "bacterial SSU rRNA". It matches the Rfam family "Archaeal small subunit ribosomal RNA", at positions 34 to 647 of the family's 1478-position model. The record is from RNAcentral.
CGGGAUAGGACUAAGACAUGCUAGUCGAGCGCUCUUUACCACGAUAAGAGCGCGGCGCACAGCUCAGUAACACGUGGCUAACCUGCCCUUGGGACAGAGACACCCCCGGGAAACUGGGGCUAAUCCCUGAUAGGCGAAGAACCCUGGAAUGAGUCUUCACCCAAAAGACGCCUAGCCACGCUUCUAGACGUCGCCCAAGGAUGGGGCCGCGACCGAUCAGGUUGUUGGUGAGGUAACGGCCCACCAAGCCUUUUACCGGUACGGGCCGUGAGAGCGGGAGCCCGGAGAUGGGCACUGAGACAAGGGCCCAGGCCCUACGGGGCGCAGCAGUCGCGCAAACUUUGCAAUACACGAAAGUGUGACAGGGCUAUCCCGAGUGCCGUCCGCUGAGGGUGGCUUUUACCCAGUCUAAAAGCUGGGAGAAUAAGAGAGGGCAAGUCUGGUGUCAGCCGCCGCGGUAAUACCAGCUCUCCGAGUGGUGUGGAUGUUUAUUGGGCCUGAAGCAUCCGUAGCUGGCUGAUCAAAGUCCCCUGUUAAACCCAACGAAUCAAUCGUUGGAUUGCGGGGGAUACUGCUCGGCUAGGGGACGAGAGAGGCCGACGGUAUUUUCGGGGUAGGGUGAAAUCCUAUAAUC